UCAGCAACAGAAUUGAAUGAUGUCACUGUGACACCUUGGGAACAGCUGCCUCUGAGCAAGUUGAGCGAGGAGGGACAGAGAAGUGUGCUGGAUGAAACCACGUGAGGACUUGUGGAUCCCACAUUGAGGUGCAUCGAGAGGGCCCACCCUUCUGUUUGGUUAUUGACGUAGAAGGGACAUAUCUGGCCUGACUGCAACACGCAUGCUCGCAGUGUGGGACAGUUCUCAUAAAGGUGAUUCCGUGUAGUUUCUGGAAACGAAGACAUCAGAUGGCAAAGGUCGAGCAGCAGAAUGUCUUUGAAACAACUGUGCCUAUGACCAAGUUCAUGCAUCGUGGUAGACAAGAUGCUUCUCUGUCCAUCGCUCUGACCUGCCAACUCUGGUGCAAGUGUGC
Long non-coding RNA from Anas platyrhynchos (mallard), 394 nucleotides. RefSeq lists it as uncharacterized. The record is from RefSeq and is a predicted model, not a curated record. Lineage: Eukaryota; Metazoa; Chordata; Aves; Anseriformes; Anatidae.